UAGUGAGUUUGAUCCUGGCUCAGAACGAACGCUGGCGGCAUGCCUAACACAUGCAAGUCGAACGAGACCUUCGGUCUAGUGGCGCACGGGUGCGUAACGCGUGGAAUCUGCCCUUGGGUUCGGAAUAACAGUUAGAAAUGACUGCUAAUACCGGAUGAUGACGUAAGGUCCAAAGAUUUAUCGCCCAAGGAUGAGCCCGCGUAAGAUUAGCUUGUUGGUGAGGUAAAGGCUCACCAAGGCGACGAUCUUUAGCUGGUCUGAGAGGAUGAUCAGCCACACUGGGACUGAGACCACGGCCCAGACUCCGUACGGGAGGCAGCAGUGGGGUAAUAUUGGACAAUGGGCGAAAGCCUGAUCCAGCAAUGCCGCGUGAGUGAUGAACGGUCC
This 387-nucleotide ribosomal RNA is filed under the name uncultured Sphingomonadaceae bacterium. RNAcentral's name for it is "bacterial SSU rRNA". It matches the Rfam family "Bacterial small subunit ribosomal RNA", at positions 1 to 418 of the family's 1533-position model. Lineage: Bacteria; Pseudomonadati; Pseudomonadota; Alphaproteobacteria; Sphingomonadales; Sphingomonadaceae. The record is from RNAcentral.